GAUCUUCGAGGAAGUAAUAAGCCCCUCUCCCGCAUUAGUGAAAAUGCAUUUUCAGCUGCUGACCCAUUGCGUAGUGUAGAAAUGGUAUCUUCACAACCUUUAACCUCAUCAUUGUCACCCAAGUAUGUCCUUGUUGAACUCCUUUUCUUCAACCGUGGCCCAAAUCCUGCAGACAAUGCUAAUUGUCGGAAUAUUUCAGGCCACGUUAGUGGAUUUAA
This 218-nucleotide unclassified non-coding RNA is filed under the name Hevea brasiliensis (rubber tree). The record is from RNAcentral. Lineage: Eukaryota; Viridiplantae; Streptophyta; Magnoliopsida; Malpighiales; Euphorbiaceae.